Long non-coding RNA from Maylandia zebra (zebra mbuna), 1140 nucleotides. RefSeq lists it as uncharacterized. Lineage: Eukaryota; Metazoa; Chordata; Actinopteri; Cichliformes; Cichlidae. The record is from RefSeq and is a predicted model, not a curated record.
UACGGGGAGAGCGUCGUCACCAUAGCAACAGAAACUGUCACUUGUUAAGGGGUGAGGCGUACACGCCAUCUAGUGAUAGAGUCGAACAGCGUGAAGUCCUACUUGUGGCCCUUCUCAGCACUGCUGCUGUAAUCUGCGGAUCUCUGCAUGCAGCCCCUUCAGCGUGUUGGCGUGGUCCUGCUGGAGGAAGAGCAGGUUUUUCUGUGCACUCUGCAACUGAUUUUCCAGUGUUACAUUUGCUGACGCCAUGGUGGAUUUUGUUCGGACACACAACUGGCCUCGCAACCUCCAGGCAGACAUGACAGAAAGGAGACGAGGUGCACGCGUGAUGUAUGCGUUGCAGCCACUGUGUGACUGUGCACUGACCCACUUCCAGCAUUUGGCACACUGGCACUACUGCCUCUGUCCUGAGUGGAGAGACGUUGAGGCCCAGCAACAAACAGCCCUCUGUCACUGGGAAGAAGUCGUACUUAGUUUUAAUGGCCCUAAAUUCUGCUCCUAAAUUUAUAAUUACUCCAAGAUUUCUGAAGUUACUGUUCUGCUGGUGUGCACAUGUAUAAAUUUGCACACAUGCACAGAAGCUAUAAAUCUGCACUGUAAGUGUCCUACAGAACUACCGUUGUUAUAAUUAACACCUGCAGCUCUGCUGAUGACCCACCAUCACUUUUACAAACCCUUUUACAGAUUAAAAAAACCCAGCUAGAGUAAGGUUUGACAAAUAUAAUCAGCAUGGCAGCCAUCAGCAUGAUGGGAUCUGCGAGGUGAGUGGGGUGCAUAGUCUGGCAGUAAUGUUAUUAUAAAACUUGAACUCUGGGGUUGGGUAACAUUAACUCCUGAGCCAAUUAAAGCACAUUAAAUGCUGGAGACUCAUCGGGCAAAUGUACCCCUGUGUGUCCCAUACUCUGGCUGUUAUUCUUCAAUGCUCCCCUGCAAAGUCUCUUUGCUGUUGGGGUUAACGGAUAUUAAGACAUCUAAAAACGUUGAAGAGAAGAGAAGAGAAGAGAAGAGAAGAGAAGAGAAGAGAAGAGAAGAGAAGAGAAGAUGACGAAGAUGUGUUUUCAGCUGUGAUGUUAAUAUGGGCUAUGGUUAAUAUGGGUUUUGUAUUAAAUCCAAACAGGCCACUAGGUGUCUCCUGUCACU